UGAGGAAUAUUGGACAAUGGAUGGAAAUCUGAUCCAGCCAUGCCGCGUGCAGGAAGACGGUCCUAUGGAUUGUAAACUGCUUUAGCAUGGGAGCAAUAAGGUGUACGCGUACACCGAUGAGAGUACCAUGAGAAUAAGCACCGGCUAACUCCGUGCCAGCAGCCGCGGUAAUACGGAGGGUGCAAGCGUUAUCCGGAUUUAUUGGGUUUAAAGGGUGCGUAGGCUGUUUGUUAAGUCAGGGGUGAAAUACCGCAGCUCAACUGUGGAAUUGCCUUUGACACUAGCAGGCUUGAAUACUGUUGCCGUGGGAGGAAUGAGUAGUGUAGCGGUGAAAUGCAUAGAUAUUACUCAGAACACCGAUUGCGAAGGCAUCUCACGAAGCAGGCAUUGACGCUGAGGCACGAAAGCGU
This 410-nucleotide ribosomal RNA is filed under the name uncultured bacterium. RNAcentral's name for it is "bacterial SSU rRNA". It matches the Rfam family "Bacterial small subunit ribosomal RNA", at positions 355 to 762 of the family's 1533-position model. The record is from RNAcentral.